GAACGCUGAAGCACCUUCGGGUGUGGAUGAGUGGCGAACGGGUGAGUAACACGUGGGUAACCUGCCCUGUACUUUGGGAUAAGCCCUGGAAACGGGGUCUAAUACCGAAUAUGACUCGCUAAGGCAUCUUGGUGGGUGGAAAGUUUCGGCGGUACAGGAUGGGCCCGCGGCCUAUCAGCUUGUUGGUGGGGUAGUGGCCUACCAAGGCGACGACGGGUAGCCGGCCUGAGAGGGUGACCGGCCACACUGGGACUGAGACACGGCCCAGACUCCUACGGGAGGCAGCAGUGGGGAAUAUUGCACAAUGGGCGGAAGCCUGAUGCAGCGACGCCGCGUGAGGGAUGACGGCCUUCGGGUUGUAAACCUCUUUCGCCAGGGACGAAGCGUAAGUGACGGUACCUGGAGAAGAAGCACCGGCUAACUACGUGCCAGCAGCCGCGGUAAUACGUAGGGUGCAAGCGUUGUCCGGAAUUAUUGGGCGUAAAGAGCUCGUAGGCGGCUUGUCGCGUCUGCUGUGAAAAUCCGGGGCUUAACUCCGGACCUGCAGUGGAUACGGGCAGGCUUGAGUUCGGUAGGGGAGACUGGAAUUCCUGGUGUAGCGGUGAAAUGCGCAGAUAUCAGGAGGAACACCGGUGGCGAAGGCGGGUCUCUGGGCCGAUACUGACGCUGAGGAGCGAAAGCGUGGGGAGCGAACAGGAUUAGAUA
This 705-nucleotide ribosomal RNA is filed under the name Amycolatopsis sp. YIM 64813. RNAcentral describes it as "bacterial SSU rRNA". It matches the Rfam family "Bacterial small subunit ribosomal RNA", at positions 64 to 784 of the family's 1533-position model. Lineage: Bacteria; Bacillati; Actinomycetota; Actinomycetes; Pseudonocardiales; Pseudonocardiaceae. The record is from RNAcentral.